RNAcentral lists this ribosomal RNA (927 nucleotides) under human gut metagenome. Its description in RNAcentral is "bacterial SSU rRNA". It matches the Rfam family "Bacterial small subunit ribosomal RNA", at positions 344 to 1283 of the family's 1533-position model. The record is from RNAcentral.
GGAGGCAGCAGUGGGGAAUAUUGGGCAAUGGAGGCAACUCUGACCCAGCAACGCCGCGUGAAUGAUGAAGGUCUUCGGAUUGUAAAGUUCUGUGAUGGGGGACGAAGAAAGUGACGGUACCCCAAUAGGAAGCUCCGGCUAACUACGUGCCAGCAGCCGCGGUAAUACGUAGGUAGCAAGCGUUGUCCGGAAUUACUGGGCGUAAAGGGUGCGUAGGUGGCUUAACAAGUUGGUAGUGAAAUUCCGAGGCUUAACUUCGGCGCUACUACCAAGACUGUUGAGCUUGAGUACAGGAGAGGUAAGUGGAAUUCCUAGUGUAGCGGUGGAAUGCGUAGAUAUUAGGAGGAACACCAGUGGCGAAGGCGACUUACUGGCCUGCAACUGACACUGAGGCACGAAAGCGUGGGGAGCAAACAGGAUUAGAUACCCUGGUAGUCCACGCCGUAAACGAUGAUUACUAGGUAUGGGAGGUAUCGACUCCUUCCGUGCCGCAGCAAACGCAAUAAGUAAUCCGCCUGGGGAGUACGGCCGCAAGGUUGAAACUCAAAGAAAUUGACGGGGACCCGCACAAGCAGCGGAGCAUGUGGUUUAAUUCGACGCAACGCGAAGAACCUUACCAGGUCUUGACAUCCUUCUGACCGCCUAAGAGAUUAGGUUUCUCUAGCAAUAGAGCAGAGAGACAGGUGGUGCAUGGUUGUCGUCAGCUCGUGUCGUGAGAUGUUGGGUUAAGUCCGACAACGAGCGCAACCCCUGUAUACAGUUGCCAAUAUUAAGUUAGGAACUCUGUAUAAACUGCCGUGGAUAACACGGAGGAAGGUGGGGAUGACGUCAAAUCAUCAUGCCCCUUACGACCUGGGCUACACACGUGCUACAAUGGCUAUUACAAAGAGCAGCGAAACUGUAAAGUCGAGCGAAUCUCAAAAAGAU